CAAUAUUUCCCCCUCUUCCUCCCAGAGCACCCAGACCGAGUUUUUCCUCUCUUCCUCCUAAACCAAACAGCUGAUUUGACGCUGGAAGAUGCAACCAAGACUUCAGCUGCGGAAGAUCAGAGCAAGACGGAGUCGAACCCUAAAUCAAUGCAAGACGAGAACGCCAAGUCCAAGCAAGAGGAUUGGGGCAGCUCUAUUCGCCCAAUCUACACCUUCUCUACUGUUGAGGAAUUCUGGGGGUUUGUCAUUCUCUCAUUGUGUUCUGUUUGUUUUCUUGAUGAGAAAAUUGAGAGACAUAUGAAUCUUUUGCUCUAUUGUGUUUGUAAUUUCUGAAUUGUUAUCUUUUAGGGUUUUUAAUGAAUGAGAAUUUUGGGAAAGAUAAGAACAUGAUGGUUAUAAAUAUUCGAAAGUAGGCAAAUUUGUGGAGGCAGUGUUUAAAGAUUAAUUUUUUUUCGUUUAGAUUUGGGGUUUUGGGUGAAAAUUUGCUAUAUUGCUUUGAAAAUUUGCUUUUAACAGAGAGAAAACUCAAGAUUUUGGGUUGUACUGUUUACUGAUUGUUUUGAACUCUCUUAUUGAAUAAAUAUAAGCUGGAUUGAUGAAGGUCGAGAGAGAGAGAGAGAGAGGUGUUUUCCAAUGCCAAAUUCCAGCUUCUCCAACUUUAAUAGUCAUUACUUUGUUAACUCUGUUUUGUUGUUCAUAUAUCUGCCUGUCUGCGUUUAUGUACAUUUGAGGACAAUGAAUAUUUAGUGUGGAUACAUGUUUGUGUGCGUUUAUAUACAUAUGAGGACAAUGAAUAUUUAGUGUGGAUACAUGUCUGUACUUAUACAAAUAUUUGGAAUCUGGAUUCUCAUUUUAUUUCUCAAGACUGAAAUUUGCUUUCUAUUAUUUUUGAGAAACAGUGGGGAGAGUUAGGGAAUUAGUUCAGUUUGGGGCAUCUUCAAGAAGUGAAGACACUUAGUUUUGCAAAUUUCAGGCUUUGAAUGUCUGAUAUGUGGUUUUCUCUGUAAUUUGUGCUUGGGGGUUGCUUAGAUUCAAGAAGUUGGGAAAGCCAGGCUGUUUUGACACACUUACAGGGAGGUGUUUGGACAGGAAGCAUAGACACAAGGUUUCUAAAGACAAUGUGAAGGAAGGGAAGCUGCUAGAAAAGUAACACUGCUUUCCUGUCUUUCCGGUUCGAGAUUUUGCUGCUUCUUCUUCUUCAGAAGGAACAGAAGUUAUAAACUCCUCAUUGGUUUUGAUAAUUGUUAAUCUUUCUAAUUCCAGCCCACCGGAAUCAGGAACAAAUGAGCUUCUCAUCAACACGGAUGAAGCACUAACAACAGACAAAUACCUCCAAAGAACUCAUGUAGAUUAUUUUGAUGACAACUAACCACCUUUGCAAUUUUUUUGAACAAAUGUUGGUUAAAAUACCCCAGCUUCUGCCCAAAACAUCAAUUUUUUUGGAAUAUGUGAUUGCAAGUCUGGUCAAAACUCCAGCUUUUGUAAUGUGUAAAAUGAUAACAUUUAAGUUAAGUUAGUGUUUCUUACCUUAUGAA
Long non-coding RNA from Rosa chinensis, 1535 nucleotides. RefSeq lists it as uncharacterized. Lineage: Eukaryota; Viridiplantae; Streptophyta; Magnoliopsida; Rosales; Rosaceae. The transcript is spliced from 4 exons. The record is from RefSeq and is a predicted model, not a curated record.